RNAcentral lists this ribosomal RNA (1372 nucleotides) under uncultured bacterium. RNAcentral describes it as "bacterial SSU rRNA". It matches the Rfam family "Bacterial small subunit ribosomal RNA", at positions 28 to 1381 of the family's 1533-position model. The record is from RNAcentral.
GAUGAACGCUGGCGGCGUGCCUAAUACAUGCAAGUCGAGCGAACGGACGAGAAGCUUGCUUCUCUGAUGUUAGCGGCGGACGGGUGAGUAACACGUGGAUAACCUACCUAUAAGACUGGGAUAACUUCGGGAAACCGGAGCUAAUACCGGAUAAUAUUUUGAACCGCAUGGUUCAAAAGUGAAAGACGGUCUUGCUGUCACUUAUAGAUGGAUCCGCGCUGCAUUAGCUAGUUGGUAAGGUAACGGCUUACCAAGGCAACGAUGCAUAGCCGACCUGAGAGGGUGAUCGGCCACACUGGAACUGAGACACGGUCCAGACUCCUACGGGAGGCAGCAGUAGGGAAUCUUCCGCAAUGGGCGAAAGCCUGACGGAGCAACGCCGCGUGAGUGAUGAAGGUCUUCGGAUCGUAAAACUCUGUUAUUAGGGAAGAACAUAUGUGUAAGUAACUGUGCACAUCUUGACGGUACCUAAUCAGAAAGCCACGGCUAACUACGUGCCAGCAGCCGCGGUAAUACGUAGGUGGCAAGCGUUAUCCGGAAUUAUUGGGCGUAAAGCGCGCGUAGGCGGUUUUUUAAGUCUGGUGUGAAAGCCCACGGCUCAACCGUGGAGGGUCAUUGGAAACUGGAAAACUUGAGUGCAGAAGAGGAAAGUGGAAUUCCAUGUGUAGCGGUGAAAUGCGCAGAGAUAUGGAGGAACACCAGUGGCGAAGGCGACUUUCUGGUCUGUAACUGACGCUGAUGUGCGAAAGCGUGGGGAUCAAACAGGAUUAGAUACCCUGGUAGUCCACGCCGUAAACGAUGAGUGCUAAGUGUUAGGGGGUUUCCGCCCCUUAGUGCUGCAGCUAACGCAUUAAGCACUCCGCCUGGGGAGUACGACCGCAAGGUUGAAACUCAAAGGAAUUGACGGGGACCCGCACAAGCGAUGGAGCAUGUGGUUUAAUUCGAAGCAACGCGAAGAACCUUACCAAAUCUUGACAUCCUUUGACAACUCUAGAGAUAGAGCUUUCCCCUUCGGGGGACAAAGUGACAGGUGGUGCAUGGUUGUCGUCAGCUCGUGUCGUGAGAUGUUGGGUUAAGUCCCGCAACGAGCGCAACCCUUAAGCUUAGUUGCCAUCAUUAAGUUGGGCACUCUAAGUUGACUGCCGGUGACAAACCGGAGGAAGGUGGGGAUGACGUCAAAUCAUCAUGCCCCUUAUGAUUUGGGCUACACACGUGCUACAAUGGACAAUACAAAGGGCAGCGAAACCGCGAGGUCAAGCAAAUCCCAUAAAGUUGUUCUCAGUUCGGAUUGUAGUCUGCAACUCGACUACAUGAAGCUGGAAUCGCUAGUAAUCGUAGAUCAGCAUGCUACGGUGAAUACGUUCCCGGGUCU